UGGGGGAUAUUGCACAAUGGGCGAAAGCCUGAUGCAGCGACGCCGCGUGGGGGAUGAAGGCUUUCGGGUUGUAAACCUCUUUCGCUAUCGAACAAGGCCCGCUUAGGGUGGGUUGAGGGUAGGUGGAGAAGAAGCGCCGGCUAACUACGUGCCAGCAGCCGCGGUAAUACGUAGGGCGCGAGCGUUGUCCGGAAUUAUUGGGCGUAAAGGGCUUGUAGGCGGCUUGUUGCGCCUGCUGUGAAAACGCGGGGCUUAACUUCGCGCGUGCAGUGGGUACGGGCAGGCUUGAGUGUGGUAGGGGUGACUGGAAUUCCAGGUGUAGCGGUGGAAUGCGCAGAUAUCUGGAGGAACACCGAUGGCGAAGGCAGGACACUGGGCCAUUACUGACGCUGAGGAGCGAAAGCAUGGGUAGCGAACAGG
Molecule: ribosomal RNA, 420 nt
Filed under: bacterium
Lineage: Bacteria
Description: partial 16S ribosomal RNA
Rfam family: Bacterial small subunit ribosomal RNA
Source: RNAcentral